GACGAACGCUGGCGGCGUGCUUAACACAUGCAAGUCGAACGGAAAGGCCCUGCUUUUGUGGGGUGCUCGAGUGGCGAACGGGUGAGUAACACGUGAGUAACCUGCCCUUGACUUUCGGAUAACUUCAGGAAACUGGGGCUAAUACCGGAUAGGAGCUCCUGCUGCAUGGUGGGGGUUGGAAAGUUUCGGCGGUUGUGGAUGGACUCGCGGCUUAUCAGCUUGUUGGUGGGGUAGUGGCUUACCAAGGCUUUGACGGGUAGCCGGCCUGAGAGGGUGACCGGCCACAUUGGGACUGAGAUACGGCGCAGACUCGUACGGGAGGCAGCAGUGGGGAAUAUUGCACAAUGGGCGGAAGCCUGAUGCAGCAACGCCGCGUGCGGGAUAACGGCCUUCGGGUUGUAAACCGCUUUCGCCUGUGACGAAGCGUGAUUGACGGUAAUGGGUAAAGAAGCACCGGCUAACUACGUG
RNAcentral lists this ribosomal RNA (468 nucleotides) under uncultured bacterium. RNAcentral describes it as "partial 16S ribosomal RNA". It matches the Rfam family "Bacterial small subunit ribosomal RNA", at positions 28 to 507 of the family's 1533-position model. The record is from RNAcentral.